AGUUGUUUUCUAUCUCCGUGUGGCUCACACUGAGAGUUGUCUCACCAAAAGAGAGGGAAUAUUUUUAUUUUUUCUUCUGUUCAUGUUAUCACCACUGCUCAUGCAGAAUAAAAACCUUGUUAAACUGGGAUUUUCUUCAAUCUGAACUCAACUGUAAAACAGAUUUAACCUCAGACUGAUUCUUCUUGUGGGACUAGUUUUAUUAGGAUCCUACUAGUUGUCUGGUGUGGAUAUAAUACCAGUCUGUCUCUGAGAUGGAGUCCAGAACUCUUCUACUUGUUCUGGACAUCGAUGAGUGCAAGGGGAGACUACGGGUUUGUCCCAGCAACGCCAGUUGCCUCAACACCAUUGGGAGCUUCUACUGCCAGUGUCAACCUGGGUUCAGAUUCUCUAAUCACACUGUGAAGGACUGAUGGAAAGUCCAAUAUCAAGUUAUCUGAUGAGUUUCCCAAUGAUUUUGUCACGUCUGCUCCUCCUCCCCCUCUCUGACGCUCGAGGUUGCCAGGCGACUCAUCAUUACUCACACCUCUCCCCAUCGUUACGCGCCCCAGCACUUCAUCGGACUCACCUGGACUCCAUCACGUCAUUGAUUAUCUAUCCUAUAUCUGUCACCCAUCCAGUUCAUUUUACACAUCUGCAUUGAUGUUGUUUUGUUUCUCCUGUCCAGAAGCUCUUACUGUUUUUCAUGUCUGUUAACCCAUUAAAUAUUCAUUCCCUGUACUUACUUCUCGUCUCCCAGCGUCUGGCAUCACAGAGCCAUUUCAGAUUGUGUACAUUUCUUUUUAAAGACUUGCU
Oncorhynchus keta (chum salmon) is the source of this 795-nucleotide long non-coding RNA. RefSeq lists it as uncharacterized. NCBI's taxonomy places the organism in Eukaryota, Metazoa, Chordata, Actinopteri, Salmoniformes, Salmonidae. The transcript is spliced from 3 exons. The record is from RefSeq and is a predicted model, not a curated record.